CGAAACGAAGUGAUCUAUCCAUGAGCAGGUUGAAGCUAGUGUAAGAACUAGUGGAGGACCGAACCCGCUAGCGUUGAAAAGCUAUGGGAUGACUUGUGGAUAGGGGUGAAAGGCCAAUCAAACUUCGUGAUAGCUGGUUCUCUCCGAAAUAUAUUUAGGUAUAGCGUUGUGUCGUAACUAAAGGGGGUAGAGCACUGAAUGGGCUAGGGCAUACACCAAUGUACCAAACCCUAUCAAACUCCGAAUACCUUUAGUGUAAUCACAGCAGUCAGGCGGCGAGUGAUAAAAUCCGUCGUCAAGAGGGAAACAACCCAGACUAACAGCUAAGGUCCCCAAAUCUUACUUAAGUGGAAAACGAUGUGAAGUUACUUAAACAACCAGGAGGUUGGCUUAGAAGCAGCCAUCCUUUAAAGAAAGCGUAAUAGCUCACUGGUCUAGUGAUUUUGCGCGGAAAAUAUAACGGGGCUAAAGUAAGUACCGAAGCUUUAGGCUUGAUUUAUCAAGCGGUAGGAGAGCGUUCUAUUUGCGUCGAAGGUAUACCGACAAGGAGUGCUGGAGCGAAUAGAAGUGAGCAUGCAGGCAUGAGUAGCGAUAAUUAAUGUGAGAAUCAUUAACGCCGUAAACCCAAGGUUUCCUACGCGAUGCUCGUCAUCGUAGGGUUAGUCGGGUCCUAAGCUGAGUCCGAAAGGGGUAAGCGAUGGCAAAUAGGUUAAUAUUCCUAUACCAACAUUAGUGUGCGAUGGAAGGACGCUUAGGGCUAAGGGGGCUAGCGGAUGGAAGUGCUAGUCUAAGGUCGUAGGAGGUUAUACAGGCAAAUCCGUAUAACAAUACUCCGAGAACUGAAAGGCUUUUUGAAGUCUUCGGAUGGAAAGAAGAACCCCUGAUGCCGUCGAGCCAAGAAAAGUUUCUAAGUUUAGCUAAUGUUGCCCGUACCGUAAACCGACACAGGUGGGUGGGAUGAGUAUUCUAAGGCGCGUGGAAGAACUCUCUUUAAGGAACUCUGCAAAAUAGCACCGUAUCUUCGGUAUAAGGUGUGCCUCCCUUUGUAUUAGAAUUCACUUCGAAAGCAAAGAAGGUUACAACAAAGAGUCCCUCCCGACUGUUUACCAAAAACACAGCACUCUGCUAACUCGUAAGAGGAUGUAUAGGGUGUGACGCCUGCCCGGUGCUCGAAGGUUAAUUGAUGGGGUUAGCAUUAGCGAAGCUCUUGAUCGAAGCCCGAGUAAACGGCGGCCGUAACUAUAACGGUCCUAAGGUAGCGAAAUUCCUUGUCGGUUAAAUACCGACCUGCAUGAAUGGCGUAACGAGAUGGGAGCUGUCUCAAAGAGGGAUCCAGUGAAAUUGUAGUGGAGGUGAAAAUUCCUCCUACCCGCGGCAAGACGGAAAGACCCCGUGGACCUUUACUACAGCUUGACACUGCUAUUUGGAUAAGAAUGUGCAGGAUAGGUGGGAGGCUUUGAGUAUAUGACGCCAGUUGUAUAUGAGCCAUUGUUGAGAUACCACUCUUUCUUAUUUGGGUAGCUAACCAGCUUGAGUUAUCCUCAAGUGGGACAAUGUCUGGUGGGUAGUUUGACUGGGGCGGUCGCCUCCCAAAUAAUAACGGAGGCUUACAAAGGUUGGCUCAUAGCGGUUGGAAAUCGCUAGUAGAGUAUAAAGGUAUAAGCCAGCUUAACUGCAAGACAUACAAGUCAAGCAGAGACGAAAGUCGGUCUUAGUGAUCCGGUGGUUCUGUGUGGAAGGGCCAUCGCUCAAAGGAUAAAAGGUACCCCGGGGAUAACAGGCUGAUCUCCCCCAAGAGCUCACAUCGACGGGGAGGUUUGGCACCUCGAUGUCGGCUCAUCGCAUCCUGGGGCUGGAGCAGGUCCCAAGGGUAUGGCUGUUCGCCAUUUAAAGCGGUACGCGAGCUGGGUUCAGAACGUCGUGAGACAGUUCGGUCCCUAUCUGCCGUGGGCGUAAGAAGAUUGAAGAGAUUUGACCCUAGUACGAGAGGACCGGGUUGAACAAACCACUGGUGUAGCUGUUGUUCUGCCAAGAGCAUCGCAGCGUAGCUAAGUUUGGAAAGGAUAAACGCUGAAAGCAUCUAAGCGUGAAGCCAACUCUAAGAUGAAUCUUCUCUAAGCUCUCUAGAAGACUACUAGUUUGAUAGGCUGGGUGUGUAAUGGAUGAAAGUCCUUUAGCUGACCAGUACUAAUAGAGCGUUUGGCUUAUCUUAUAAAUA
RNAcentral lists this ribosomal RNA (2218 nucleotides) under Campylobacter upsaliensis. RNAcentral describes it as "partial 23S ribosomal RNA". It matches the Rfam family "Bacterial large subunit ribosomal RNA", at positions 716 to 2925 of the family's 2925-position model. The record is from RNAcentral. Lineage: Bacteria; Pseudomonadati; Campylobacterota; Epsilonproteobacteria; Campylobacterales; Campylobacteraceae.